UACGGGGGGGGCAAGCGUUGUUCGGAAUUACUGGGCGUAAAGGGCGCGUAGGCGGUUUCGGAAGUCAAGGGUGAAAGCCCCGAGCUCAACUCGGGAAUUGCCUUUGAAACCACGGAACUAGAGUGUUGGAGAGGAAAGCGGAAUUUCCAGUGUAGCGGUGAAAUGCGUAGAUAUUGGAAGGAACAUCUGAGGCGAAGGCGGCUUUCUGGACAGACACUGACGCUGAGGCGCGAAAGCUAGGGGAGCGAACGGG
Molecule: ribosomal RNA, 253 nt
Filed under: uncultured bacterium
Lineage: Bacteria
Description: partial 16S ribosomal RNA
Rfam family: Bacterial small subunit ribosomal RNA
Source: RNAcentral